UCUGCAUGGAACGGGUAAAAGGGAAGCAGGUUAGAAUCCUGCACGAUCUCGUCACUGUGUCGAGGGAAUCGUGUUUCAAUGUAAGUCACUGGGUAAAACCGGGAAGACAGGAAAUACGGUGCUGAUCUCCAAGUCAGGAAACCUGCCGUUUAUCAU
RNAcentral lists this non-coding RNA (156 nucleotides) under uncultured Treponema sp. The record is from RNAcentral. Lineage: Bacteria; Pseudomonadati; Spirochaetota; Spirochaetia; Treponematales; Treponemataceae.